CUGGCGGCGUGCCUAAUACAUGCAAGUCGAGCGAACGGACGAGAAGCUUGCUUCUCUGAUGUUAGCGGCGGACGGGUGAGUAACACGUGGAUAACCUACCUAUAAGACUGGGAUAACUUCGGGAAACCGGAGCUAAUACCGGAUAAUAUUUUGAACCGCAUGGUUCAAAAGUGAAAGGCGGUCUUGCUGUCACUUAUAGAUGGAUCCGCGCUGCAUUAGCUAGUUGGUAAGGUAACGGCUUACCAAGGCAACGAUGCAUAGCCGACCUGAGAGGGUGUUCGGCCACACUGGAACUGAGACACGGUCCAGACUCCUACGGGAGGCAGCAGUAGGGAAUCUUCCGCAAUGGGCGAAAGCCUGACGGAGCAACGCCGCGUGAGUGAUGAAGGUCUUCGGAUCGUAAAACUCUGUUAUUAGGGAAGAACAUAUGUGUAAGUAACUGUGCACAUCUUGACGGUACCUAAUCAGAAAGCCACGGCUAACUACGUGCCAGCAGCCGCGGUAAUACGUAGGUGGCAAGCGUUAUCCGGAAUUAUUGGGCGUAAAGCGCGCGUGGGCGGUUUUUUAAGUCUGAUGUGAAAGCCCACGGCUCAACCGUGGAGGGUCAUUGGAAACUGGAAAACUUGAGUGCAGAAGAGGAAAGUGGAAUUCCAUGUGUAGCGGUGAAAUGCGCAGAGAUAUGGAGGAACACCAGUGGCGAAGGCGACUUUCUGGUCUGUAACUGACGCUGAUGUGCGAAAGCGUGGGG
Molecule: ribosomal RNA, 748 nt
Filed under: uncultured bacterium
Lineage: Bacteria
Description: bacterial SSU rRNA
Rfam family: Bacterial small subunit ribosomal RNA
Source: RNAcentral